GAUCUGAUAGUGUAAUGGUAACACACCUGCUUUGCAUCGGACAUAACUCGAGAAGUUUGGUGGGGGUUCCUUGUUCGACUCAAGGCCAGGCCA
Mycena latifolia is the source of this 93-nucleotide non-coding RNA. The record is from the annotation of a GenBank genome assembly. Lineage: Eukaryota; Fungi; Basidiomycota; Agaricomycetes; Agaricales; Mycenaceae.